GCUCGCUUCGGCAGCACACAUAUUGGAACGAUACAAAGAAGAUUAACGUGGCCCCUGCACAAAGGGCAACAUGCAAAUAAAAAAAAAAGAUUUGCAUGUUGUU
Molecule: small nuclear RNA, 103 nt
Organism: Panthera leo (lion)
Lineage: Eukaryota; Metazoa; Chordata; Mammalia; Carnivora; Felidae
Source: Ensembl